AUUGCUUCUUGGUCUUUUGGCUAAGAUCAAGUGUAGUAUUUGUUCUUAUCAAUUUAAAAUGGAACCCUAGUAUAUUUUGGUUGAAAUACAGACAGGUACACCCACUCUGGAAAGCAGCAUAGAAUUUCCUUGAAAAACUAAGAAUGGAACUUCCUUUUGGUCAGGCAAUUCCACUGCUGGGAUUAUACUGU
Molecule: small nuclear RNA, 191 nt
Organism: Pteronotus mesoamericanus
Lineage: Eukaryota; Metazoa; Chordata; Mammalia; Chiroptera; Mormoopidae
Product: U2 spliceosomal RNA
Exons: 1
Source: RefSeq, a predicted model, not a curated record